UGGCUGUAAUGGUCAUUUUAUUGGAAAAUUGAGGGUUCUCCCUCUGCCAAGACCGUUUGCCGGGUUUACUCGGCAGUGUCCGCGGUGUCGAGUUCGAACUCUCUGGUGCGCGGUUUCCCGUCGGAGUGAGCAAUCAUCCAGUAUGGGCGUGUGUAAAGUUGGAGGGUAUUUGUGAGGGUGGAAACACCGCAGCAGGCCUCUUCACCAGAGAGUGGCGUCAACACGAUAGCACCUGUGGGCAUUUGGGUACUGGUGGACGGGAGGUUAGGACUCGAGUCACCAAUUUAUU
RNAcentral lists this signal recognition particle RNA (289 nucleotides) under Orbilia oligospora ATCC 24927. Its description in RNAcentral is "Arthrobotrys oligospora ATCC 24927 Fungal signal recognition particle RNA". It matches the Rfam family "Fungal signal recognition particle RNA". The record is from Rfam by way of RNAcentral. Lineage: Eukaryota; Fungi; Ascomycota; Orbiliomycetes; Orbiliales; Orbiliaceae.